Cygnus olor (mute swan) is the source of this 1027-nucleotide long non-coding RNA. RefSeq lists it as uncharacterized. The record is from RefSeq and is a predicted model, not a curated record. The transcript has 3 exons. Lineage: Eukaryota; Metazoa; Chordata; Aves; Anseriformes; Anatidae.
CAGCUGAAAACUUGCAGAUACUUCUAGUAGUUGCGUUAUUGUAGUUUUUCUGUGGGGAAACUGAGAGCUAUGUGUUUCAAGAUGAUUUCUGUAUGAACAUGUGGCUGGCAUAAACACCAGUUUGAUCAUUAAACUAGUGUUCAGUAUAUUAAAUAAUUCAAUCUUUAGCUCUUCACAUAUCUUAUAAUUAACACACUUAAGAUUUUCAUAUUCUGUUACUUUUUCUAUGGAGAAACCAGGCAGUGACUUUCAAUACAGCCAAACAAUAACAGCAAAAUUCACGUGUUUAAGACCUGAUGGGGUUGAAGUCUUAGCAGUUUCUGCAUCGCAAUUCGGUAGUCUUGGAUAUAACAAUAGAGAGGUUUUUCCUUUUGUUAAUUCUGAACUUCCAUUUCAAAGGUGGGAAUCAGCAAAUAAUACCUCCUAGUCCUUGUCUUCAGCGGGCUUUUGCAUGCUGAAGGUGCGCCUGUGGAUGUUGCUGUGGUUGAGCCGGGGUUGCUAAGCACUUCUGAAAAGCAUCUGCACUGAAACAUUCUGGAUUUCAUUGGGCAUGGUGUCUGGUGAUGACUGAAAUCUGCUGCUGAAGCAAAUUCUAGAGGAGGUUUCAGAGCUGUGACUAUGGCUUCUUUGCACAUAAAUGUUAUUGUGUGUUUGUUUGAACAUGGUAGGAUAUUUAAUGUAUUAUAGAAAUACAUUUUCUACAUCCAGACUCAGUGUCAGUAUCACCAUAGAACCUUUCUUCCCAACGUAUUUCCUUCAUUUGAGCCUUAAAAAUUAAACAAAAAACCCACAACAAAUCAAAACAAACAAACAAAAAAAGCACACCCCCAGACCUUGAGAAAAUGUAAUUUCCUGUGAAACAUGUACCCUACUGUCAUCUUCUGGGGGAAGAGAACAUUAUUGUAUCCACUGUUGUUGUAAGUGAAAUAUGGUGUACAGCAUGCUAAAUAACUGCUAAGUCAAAUGUCAGUGUGAACCCAGAAAUCCUCACUAGAGGAAAAAAUAAAUAUUUUUAUUUUCUCUAAAA